This 851-nucleotide ribosomal RNA is filed under the name marine metagenome. RNAcentral describes it as "bacterial SSU rRNA". It matches the Rfam family "Bacterial small subunit ribosomal RNA", at positions 557 to 1411 of the family's 1533-position model. The record is from RNAcentral.
GGCUUAAGAGUUCGUAGGUGGUUAAAAAGUUGGUGGUGAAAUCCCAGAGCUUAACUCUGGAACUGCCAUCAAAACUUUUUAGCUAGAGUUUGAUAGAGGAAAGCAGAAUUUCUAGUGUAGAGGUGAAAUUCGUAGAUAUUAGAAAGAAUACCAAUUGCGAAGGCAGCUUUCUGGAUCAUUACUGACACUGAGGAACGAAAGCAUGGGUAGCGAAGAGGAUUAGAUACCCUCGUAGUCCAUGCCGUAAACGAUGUGUGUUAGACGUUGGAAAUUUAUUUUCAGUGUCGCAGCGAAAGCGAUAAACACACCGCCUGGGGAGUACGACCGCAAGGUUAAAACUCAAAUGAAUUGACGGGGACCCGCACAAGUAGUGGAGCAUGUGGUUUAAUUCGAAGAUACGCGCAGAACCUUACCAACACUUGACAUGUUCGUCGCGACCUUAAGAGAUUAAGGUUUUCGGUUCGGCCGGACGAAACACAGGUGCUGCAUGGCUGUCGUCAGCUCGUGUCGUGAGAUGUUGGGUUAAGUCCCGCAACGAGCGCAACCCUCACUUUUAGUUGCCAUCAUUUAGUUGGGCACUCUGAAAGAACUGCCAGUGAUAAGCUGGAGGAAGGUGGGGAUGACGUCAAGUCCUCAUGGCCCUUACGUGUUGGGCUACACACGUGCUACAAUGGCAUCUACAAUAGGAAGCAAAAUGGCGACAUUGAGCAAAUCCUAAAAAGAUGCCUCAGUUCGGAUUGCACUCUGCAACUCGAGUGCAUGAAGCUGGAAUUACUAGUAAUCGCGGAUCAGCGCGCCGCGGUGAAUACGUUCCCGGGUCUUGUACACACCGCCCGUCACACCAUGGGAGU